This 23-nucleotide non-coding RNA is filed under the name Arabidopsis thaliana (thale cress). The record is from RNAcentral. Lineage: Eukaryota; Viridiplantae; Streptophyta; Magnoliopsida; Brassicales; Brassicaceae.
UUUUUAGGACUGUGUAUUACGGA